Molecule: small RNA, 103 nt
Filed under: Epilithonimonas arachidiradicis
Lineage: Bacteria; Pseudomonadati; Bacteroidota; Flavobacteriia; Flavobacteriales; Weeksellaceae
Description: Chryseobacterium arachidiradicis Flavo-1 RNA
Source: RNAcentral
UUGCAGCCCGGCUUGAGCGGAAAUCCUUUUUUUGCUUAUACUUAAUUUCUAUCUAACGUGAAAUCGUCUGGAAAAAAGAUUGGGAGCGGAAGACGGAUUAAGC